AACGAACGCUGGCGGCAGGCCUAACACAUGCAAGUCGAACGGAUCCUUCGGGAUUAGUGGCAGACGGGUGAGUAACGCGUGGGAAGCUACCUUGUGGUAGGGAACAACAGUUGGAAACGACUGCUAAUACCCUAUGAGCCCUAUGGGGGAAAGAUUUAUCGCCAUGAGAUGUGCCCGCGUUAGAUUAGCUAGUUGGUAAGGUAAUGGCUUACCAAGGCGACGAUCUAUAGCUGGUCUGAGAGGAUGAUCAGCCACACUGGGACUGAGACACGGCCCAGACUCCUACGGGAGGCAGCAGUGGGGAAUAUUGGACAAUGGGGGCAACCCUGAUCCAGCCAUGCCGCGUGAGUGAUGACGGCCUUAGGGUUGUAAAGCUCUUUCAGCAGUGAAGAUAAUGACAUUAACUGCAGAAGAAGCCCCGGCUAACUUCGUGCCAGCAGCCGCGGUAAUACGAAGGGG
RNAcentral lists this ribosomal RNA (459 nucleotides) under uncultured Alphaproteobacteria bacterium. RNAcentral's name for it is "bacterial SSU rRNA". It matches the Rfam family "Bacterial small subunit ribosomal RNA", at positions 29 to 533 of the family's 1533-position model. The record is from RNAcentral. Lineage: Bacteria; Pseudomonadati; Pseudomonadota; Alphaproteobacteria.